Molecule: long non-coding RNA, 393 nt
Filed under: Solanum tuberosum (potato)
Lineage: Eukaryota; Viridiplantae; Streptophyta; Magnoliopsida; Solanales; Solanaceae
Description: long non-coding RNA (STUB_LNC000223)
Source: RNAcentral
UUUUUUUGUCAAUUACACAGCUAAUACAAGAUUGAUGUACAUAACAAUGUAUCUACGUAAUGAAUAGAUAAAGAAUGAGACCUCCCAAUGGUUACUAUACAAUAAAAUUUAGUGACAUUGAGGUAAAAUUAACUUACAUAAUUGGAAACAUCCAUGUAUUCAUACUCCUGGAGACAAAAUAGAAAAUUACAAAAUUACAAAAGUCUCCAGCGAGUAAUAAAACAUGUUGCUUUGCAAGACAUAAGAAUCAAUAAUUGCAAUGAAUUCCUUUCUUAGAACUGAGAUAUUGACACAAAAUGCAAAAGGACUACAAUUUGAAGGAAUCACAACGUAAUUACAAUAUACGUCCAAUGACCACUUUGUAGCUCUCAAACAAAUCUGCAAUUUUUUUCU